Molecule: long non-coding RNA, 519 nt
Organism: Ostrea edulis (European flat oyster)
Lineage: Eukaryota; Metazoa; Mollusca; Bivalvia; Ostreida; Ostreidae
Exons: 3
Source: RefSeq, a predicted model, not a curated record
CAAGACAUUCAUCCCCCAAAACAAAGUUUUGCAUUUAUGUUUCUCUCACUGUAUUGCAAAUUUCAAGAUAGUUUUCAAUACAUUAAAUUUGUGGUACUUGUGUACCAAAUUAAUGACUCUUAAUAUAGUUUUGUGGAAAAAGGAAAAGAAAGAUAACCAGAUUGAUCUCUUUAUUUUACCAUGUAGUCUACAGACUCCAGAUGGAAAAAGACAGAGAAAGAAAUUCUAAAGGGGUAUUCAAGGAUCCAUCCUCCUCCACACUAAUUCAUAUUGGAAGGAAUUAACAUCCAACUUGAAUGAAGAAUUACAGACUUCCAGAACAGACCCUUAAAAAAAGAAGCCAGAUCUUCAGAAGACUUCCUUGAAAAUGAGAAUUUUUUGAGUGGAAGUGAAGAAUAUGGGAUGCAUACAAGCAGACAUCAGCAUUCCCUCCCUCUUGUUUGUAUCAGAGGUGAGCUUUUUGAGAAAGACUUAAUGGAGGAAGUUUGAGAGUGUCAGUUGUCAGAUCAAGAACUUAGC